Non-coding RNA from Glycine soja, 120 nucleotides. The record is from Rfam. NCBI's taxonomy places the organism in Eukaryota, Viridiplantae, Streptophyta, Magnoliopsida, Fabales, Fabaceae.
UUACUAUUGGAUGAUGAUGGUCACGUGUCACGUUCUGAUUAGAUAUAAACUCCAUGAAAGAUGAAAUAUAUUAUUGUUUUCAUUGACCAGUCAGAACAUGAUAUAUGACCGUCAUCAUCC